This 1470-nucleotide ribosomal RNA is filed under the name Prevotella denticola. RNAcentral's name for it is "partial 23S ribosomal RNA". It matches the Rfam family "Bacterial large subunit ribosomal RNA", at positions 1 to 1473 of the family's 2925-position model. The record is from RNAcentral. Lineage: Bacteria; Pseudomonadati; Bacteroidota; Bacteroidia; Bacteroidales; Prevotellaceae.
AAGAAAGCAGGAAAGGGCGCAUGGCGGAUGCCUUGGCUCACGGAGGCGAUGAAGGACGUGAUAAGCUGCGAUAAGCCCCGGGUAGGUGCAAAUGACCUUUGAUCCGUGGAUUUCCGAAUGGGACAACCCGGCAGGCUGGAGGCCUGUCAUCACUACGGAUGUAGUGAGGCGAACGGAGGGAACUGAAACAUCUUAGUACCUCCAGGAAGAGAAAAUAAACUAAUGAUUCCCCCAGUAGCGGCGAGCGGACGGGGAAGAGCCCAAACCGGCGGCGUAGCGAUGCGCCUCCGGGGUUGUAGGACCACGCAGUCGUACUUGGAUUGUGAGAAGAAUGUUCUGGAAAGAACAAUCAUAGAGGGUGAUGAUCCCGUAUUCGAAGCAUGACGAGACGUAGUGGUAUCCUGAGUAACGCGGAACACGUGAAAUUCUGCGCGAAUCCGCCGGGACCAUCCGGCAAGGCUAAAUACUCCCGUGAGACCGAUAGUGUACGAGUACCGUGAGGGAAAGGUGAAAAGCACUCCGACGAGGAGAGUGAAAGAGUUCCUGAAACCAUGCGCCUACAAGCGGUCGGAGCCGCGCGAGCGGUGACGGCGUGCCUUUUGCAUAAUGAACCUACGAGUUGCCAUGUCUGGCAAGGAUAAGCGUCAUGAGCCGCGUAUCCGCAGUGAAAGCGAGCCUGAACAGGGCGUCGAGUCAGACGGGGCAGACGCGAAACCAAGUGAUCUACACUUGCCCAGGCUGAAGUCCGGGUAACACCGGAUGGAGGGCCGCACGGAUAAGCGUUGAAAAGCUUCCCGAUGAGGCGAGUGUAGGAGUGAAAGGCCAAUCAAACUUGGAGAUAGCUCGUACUCCCCGAAAGGCAUUUAGGUGCCGCGUGCGGCGUUGUCCGUGAGAGGUAGAGCGACCGGUAGGUCGAGAGGGCUUCACCGCCUGUCGAGACCUGACGAACUCCGAAUGCUCUCGGAUCGCAGCCGUGCAGUAAGGGGGCGGGUGCUAAGGUCCGUCCCCGAGAGGAGAAGAAUCCAGACCGCCGUCUAAGGUCCCGGAAUUCUGCCUGAGUUAGUCUAACGAAGUCCGGUCCCCGUGACAGCUAGGAUGUUGGCUUGGAAGCAGCCAUUCAUUCAAAGAGUGCGUAACAGCUCACUAGUCGAGGGUCCGGGCGUGGAUAAUAAUCGGGUAUAAGGCAGAUACCGAAGGCGCGGGAUAGCAAUGUAUAUUGAAAGUAUCGGUAGGGGAGCAUUCCAUCGGCGUCGAAUGGUGAGGGAAACUGAUCCUGGAGCUUAUGGAAAAGCAAAUGUAGGUAUGAGUAACGAUAAAAAGGGUGGGAUUCCCUUUCGCCGAAAGACCGAGGUUUCCCGGGCGAUGCCAAUCAGCCCGGGGUCAGUCGGGUCCUAAGUCUCAGCCGAACGGCGAAGGCGAUGGCAGAUGCGGUCAACAUUCCGCAACUCGCAUUAUCAGUGACGUGGAGAC